This 253-nucleotide ribosomal RNA is filed under the name uncultured bacterium. Its description in RNAcentral is "partial 16S ribosomal RNA". It matches the Rfam family "Bacterial small subunit ribosomal RNA", at positions 524 to 776 of the family's 1533-position model. The record is from RNAcentral.
UACGUAGGGGGCAAGCGUUGUCCGGAUUUAUUGGGCGUAAAGAGCGUGUAGGCGGCUUUACAGGUCCGUUGUGAAAACUCGAGGCUCAACCUCGAGACGCCGAUGGAAACCAUCAGACUAGAGUCCGGAAGAGGAGAGUGGAAUUCCUGGUGUAGCGGUGAAAUGCGCAGAUAUCAGGAGGAACACCGGUGGCGAAGGCGGGUCUCUGGGCCGUUACUGACGCUGAGGAGCGAAAGCGUGGGGAGCGAACAGG